Molecule: long non-coding RNA, 625 nt
Organism: Otolemur garnettii (small-eared galago)
Lineage: Eukaryota; Metazoa; Chordata; Mammalia; Primates; Galagidae
Exons: 3
Source: RefSeq, a predicted model, not a curated record
CUUUGAGCCACAGGCGCCACCCCAUGGCAGAUGAGCUGCUGGUCCCUUGAGGGUUUCUUACUCCAUUUAUGAAAAGUAGAAGAAACAACCUCAUGAAGAUGUAUUGAUAUAUAUCAGAGCACAAAUAACUGGAGGGAAAUUAUGUGACAGCAGACAGCCAAGGUGUGCUGACAGUGGUUCUCACCAAUCACAGAGCCAAGAAGAAGGAAUUCUUUUUUAUACAGGACAUCAGUCCAGGGAAGUUGCCUCUUUAUGGCAGUACCAAAUGAAAUUCAUGCAAUUUCCAAUAGAGCAGUGUUCCUGGGCCGUGGGUUAUUUGCAUCCAUGCUGGGGUACUCCCAAUUCUGAUCAUCCAAGGCCCGGUUUCGGUAAGGUAUCCAUGAGAAUUUGUACUUAUCGAAGGGGGAGAUGCCUUGUCUUCUUCAAUGUCCUCGUCCAGCAUAGCUCACACAAAUCCGCACAAGCACACGUGUUUCUACAAGUGUGUUACACAGUCAGACUCUGGGUGGGAGCUGUCCCCAGGUGGCCCUAGGCCUGGAGCAAUGAGAAGGGUGUCCUACAGGUGGCACCUUCUCCCCUCUCAUCUGCCCUAGCAAUGCCUUCAGCAGCAGCAGCUGCCAGGAUG